AAACCCAACCAACCAACCAAACAAAAAACAACACAUAAAAACCCCAACAAAACCCUAAUAAAAGACAAGCUUAGGAAGCUGUAGUCUUGUUGAACUCCUACAUGGAGACAGGAAAUCUUUUAGAAUAUAUAGUUACAUAGCAUACAAAGAAUUUCCCAGGACUAAUAUCUGGAGAAAACGUAACUCUCUGCAAUAAAGAUUCAGGAAAAUGUUUUAACUAACCAAGUGUAUCAAGGGAGUGAAUAAUAGUAAUAUACUAAUAAUAUUUCUAUUACUUAAAUCCUUACUUGAUUCUUGUCUAAAGUUUCAAGAAGCUCUUCAUCUGACUUUAAUAAAAGAGUGAUACUGUGAUGCACUUUGUAAGAAAAUUCCAUGGCAGCCCAUGUUUGGCUGAUUUCUGCCAAAAUCUGGGGACAAGAGUAGUAGUAAUAACAUCUGUCUAUAUAUAUAUAUAUCACAUUUCAUGUUUUGAGUUGAGAACUUAAAUUAUUUAAUUCAGAGUGAUGGUAAACUAUACUACAAACAAGAACUUAGUUUCACUAGGCUGUGAAUUUUGCUCCCUAGGUAAGUCACAUGAAAAUACUCACUUCUAUCGUUAGUUUCUUGAAACAAAACUCAACCAAGCAAACAGUUUGUUACACACCAUUCUGCAAAAACAGAAGGAAAAAAGGGGCAACUCUCACUUUUUAGUACCCAAAACUUUAACAGUGUUAUCAGCUACACUUUGGCUUUAAUUUCUGCUUUAUGAAGCUGGAGUCCCAGAAGGCUUGUCAGAGUAGUAUCUUCUGCUACUAUAAGCCUGAUAAAGGAAAGAGACAGUAGAGAGCAAAAUAAGUAAAUUAAGAAGAAAAAUCAGACAUAAGAAUAUAUGUCAAAUGAAAUGAAGUAAAUGAAAUUCAAGUUCAAAUGAAAUCCAAGUAAAAAAAACAAUGAAAGAAGUUCUAUGCACUCCAGAUACUGGAUAGACAUACUAGAUUUGCACCAAAACUGUGACUUUAUUCAGCCUAGAUGAAGUAUUUCUUGAUGAUGUUAGUGUAUUUUUUUUGUUAUGCCUUGUCUUGUACUGUGACAUAUUAUGUAUCCUAACACUAAAAGGCAAGUUUAUUUGCACAGCUGCCACUGAAUCUGAUGUAAGCUACAG
This 1141-nucleotide long non-coding RNA is filed under the name Strigops habroptila (Kakapo). RNAcentral describes it as "lncRNA (ENSSHBG00005005537.1)". The record is from RNAcentral. Lineage: Eukaryota; Metazoa; Chordata; Aves; Psittaciformes; Psittacidae.